Peromyscus maniculatus bairdii (prairie deer mouse) is the source of this 645-nucleotide non-coding RNA. NCBI's taxonomy places the organism in Eukaryota, Metazoa, Chordata, Mammalia, Rodentia, Cricetidae. The record is from RefSeq and is a predicted model, not a curated record.
CCUUUCCUCUCGUGACAGUUCUAAGUCCUGGUGAACAAAGGAGCCUGUCGGAGGCUGGCAUCUUGGACCGAAUGCGCAUCACUCAAACUAGCAGUCUGGGAACCACGGGACUGUGAGCAGCAGAUGCUCAGGCGAGUGAGUAGUGUGGAAACAGUGGAACUGGAAGGAAGUUCGUGAAGCAGGAAUCUGGGGAAGCAUAAGACAGAUAGGUAAGCAGACCUGAGUCUGCAAGUUCUCCAGGGACUUCAUGAAAACGGCUACUCCUGUACCCAGAAAUGCUCUAGAGCUUGGCCUCCCUCACAGAGGCUGCUGCUUCAGCUGUCCUGGGUGGCUCCUCUCUUCCCCUCAGCAGCUGGUUGUUCUUAUUCAGCAUCUCGGAAGUCAGUGAGGACAUAGCCAAGAAGGUUGUAAAGAAGUGCUACUAGUCUAUUCUCCUGGAAGGGUGAUUCAUCCAGUCUCCAGGGAGUGACCUUGCAGAAGGACUUCACCUCCUGAGAUCAUACACUCUGUGUGUCCGCUCCAAGCAGGAAUCCUAGCAGGAAGGCGGUGGGCCCUGCACUGGCUGAAUUUGUCUUGGUCCACUUUUCCUGUGUUUCCUGAAAGCUCCACAGGUGGUGGCCAACUGUGACCUGAGUUUUUCCUGUA